RNAcentral lists this ribosomal RNA (274 nucleotides) under uncultured bacterium. RNAcentral describes it as "partial 16S ribosomal RNA". It matches the Rfam family "Bacterial small subunit ribosomal RNA", at positions 523 to 796 of the family's 1533-position model. The record is from RNAcentral.
AUACGGAGGGUGCAAGCGUUAAUCGGAAUUACUGGGCGUAAAGCGCGCGUAGGCGGCUGAUUAAGUCGGAUGUGAAAUCCCUGGGCUCAACCUAGGAACUGCAUCCGAUACUGGUCAGCUAGAGUUUUGGAGAGGUAAGUGGAAUUUCCGGUGUAGCGGUGAAACGCAUAGAGAUCGGAAGGAACACCAGUGGCGAAGGCGACUUACUGGCCAAAAACUGACGCUGAGGUGCGAAAGCGUGGGUAGCGAACAGGAUUAGAAACCCUAGUAGUCC